UGGGUACGGGCAGACUAGAGUGUGGUAGGGGAGACUGGAAUUCCUGGUGUAGCGGUGGAAUGCGCAGAUAUCAGGAGGAACACCGAUGGCGAAGGCAGGUCUCUGGGCCAUUACUGACACUGAGAAGCGAAAGCAUGGGGAGCGAACAGGAUUAGAUACCCUGGUAGUCCAUGCCGUAAACGUUGGGAACUAGGUGUGGGUCUCAUUCCACGAGAUCCGUGCCGCAGCUAACGCAUUAAGUUCCCCGCCUGGGGAGUACGGCCGCAAGGCUAAAACUCAAAGGAAUUGACGGGGGCCCGCACAAGCGGCGGAGCAUGCGGAUUAAUUCGAUGCAACGCGAAGAACCUUACCAAGGCUUGACAUACACCGGAAUCACUCAGAGAUGGGUGCGUCUUCGGACUGGUGUACAGGUGGUGCAUGGUUGUCGUCAGCUCGUGUCGUGAGAUGUUGGGUUAAGUCCCGCAACGAGCGCAACCCUCGUUCUAUGUUGCCAGCACGUGAUGGUGGGGACUCAUAGGAGACUGCCGGGGUCAACUCGGAGGAAGGUGGGGAUGACGUCAAAUCAUCAUGCCCCUUAUGUCUUGGGCUUCACGCAUGCUACAAUGGCCGGUACAAAGGGCUGCGAUACCGCGAGGUGGAGCGAAUCCCAAAAAACCGGUCUCAGUUCGGAUUGGGGUCUGCAACUCGACCCCAUGAAGUCGGAGUCGCUAGUAAUCGCAGAUCAGCAACGCUGCGGUGAAUACGUUCCCGGGCCUUGUACACACCGCCCGUCAAGUCACGAAAGUCGGUAACACCCGAAGCCGGUGGCCCAACCCUUGUGGGGGGAGCCGUCGAAG
RNAcentral lists this ribosomal RNA (836 nucleotides) under Terrabacter sp. RNAcentral's name for it is "bacterial SSU rRNA". It matches the Rfam family "Bacterial small subunit ribosomal RNA", at positions 627 to 1461 of the family's 1533-position model. Lineage: Bacteria; Bacillati; Actinomycetota; Actinomycetes; Micrococcales; Intrasporangiaceae. The record is from RNAcentral.